The sequence is a small nuclear RNA, 168 nucleotides long. Its record names the gene U2. It matches the Rfam family "U2 spliceosomal RNA". From Rfam's summary of the family: U2 is a small nuclear RNA (snRNA) component of the spliceosome (involved in pre-mRNA splicing). Complementary binding between U2 snRNA (in an area lying towards the 5' end but 3' to hairpin I) and the branchpoint sequence (BPS) of the intron results the bulging out of an unpaired adenosine, on the BPS, which initiates a nucleophilic attack at the intronic 5' splice site, thus starting the first of two transesterification reactions that mediate splicing. The record is from Ensembl.
AUCGCUUCUCGGCCUUUUGGCUAAGAUCAAGUGUAGUUUCCUCCAUAUCUUUUCAUGGUUUGAUAACUCAUUUCUUUUUAGCUGUAAAUAAUUUUCCAUUGUAUAUACUACAGUUUAUUUAUCCAUUCACCUACUGAAAGACACCUUUCCGAGUUUGGGCAAUUAUGA